This 506-nucleotide ribosomal RNA is filed under the name uncultured bacterium. RNAcentral describes it as "partial 16S ribosomal RNA". It matches the Rfam family "Bacterial small subunit ribosomal RNA", at positions 30 to 523 of the family's 1533-position model. The record is from RNAcentral.
AUUGAACGCUGGCGGCAUGCCUUACACAUGCAAGUCGAACGGCAGCAUGGAAGAGCUUGCUCUUCUGAUGGCGAGUGGCGAACGGGUGAGUAAAGCAUCGAAACGUACCGUGUAGUGGGGGAUAACGUAGCGAAAGUUACGCUAAUACCGCAUACGCACUGCGGUGGAAAGCAGGGGAUCGCAAGACCUUGCGCUAUACGAGCGGCCGAUGUCAGAUUAGCUAGUUGGUAGGGUAAAGGCCUACCAAGGCGACGAUCUGUAGCGGGUCUGAGAGGAUGAUCCGCCACACUGGGACUGAGACACGGCCCAGACUCCUACGGGAGGCAGCAGUGGGGAAUUUUGGACAAUGGGGGAAACCCUGAUCCAGCCAUGCCGCGUGAGUGAAGAAGGCCUUCGGGUUGUAAAGCUCUUUCGGCUGGGAAGAAAUCGCACAGGCUAAUACUCUGUGUGGAUGACGGUACCAGCAUAAGAAGCACCGGCUAACUACGUGCCAGCAGCCGCCGUAA